GAUGAACGCUGGCGGCGUGCCUAAUACAUGCCGGUCGAGCGAACAGACGAGGAGCUUGCUCCUCUGACGUUAGCGGCGGACGGGUGAGUAACACGUGGAUAACCUACCUAUAAGACUGGGAUAACUUCGGGAAACCGGAGCUAAUACCGGAUAACAUGUUGAACCGCAUGGUUCAACAGUGAAAGACGGUCUUGCUGUCGCUUAUAGAUGGAUCCGCGCCACAUUAGCUAGUUGGUAAGGUAACGGCUUACCAAGGCAACGAUGCGUAGCCGACCUGAGAGGGUGAUCGGCCACACUGGAACUGAGACACGGUCCAGACUCCUACGGGAGGCAGCAGUAGGGAAUCUUCCGCAAUGGGCGAAAGCCUGACGGAGCAACGCCGCGUGAGUGAAGAAGGUCUUCGGAUCGUAAAACUCUGUUAUUAGGGAAGAACAAAUGUGUAAGUAACUAUGCACGUCUUGACGGUACCUAAUCAGAAAGCCACGGCUAACUACGUG
Molecule: ribosomal RNA, 497 nt
Filed under: uncultured bacterium
Lineage: Bacteria
Description: partial 16S ribosomal RNA
Rfam family: Bacterial small subunit ribosomal RNA
Source: RNAcentral